RNAcentral lists this ribosomal RNA (2916 nucleotides) under Vibrio parahaemolyticus. Its description in RNAcentral is "bacterial LSU rRNA". It matches the Rfam family "Bacterial large subunit ribosomal RNA". Lineage: Bacteria; Pseudomonadati; Pseudomonadota; Gammaproteobacteria; Vibrionales; Vibrionaceae. The record is from RNAcentral.
GUUGUAUGGUUAAGUGACUAAGCGUACACGGUGGAUGCCUUGGCAGUCAGAGGCGAUGAAAGACGUAGUAACUUGCGAUAAGCCCAGAUUAGGUAGUAACAACCAUUUGAGUCUGGGAUUUCUGAAUGGGGAAACCCACUUACAUAAGUAAGUAUCAUUAACUGAAUACAUAGGUUAAUGAGGCGAACCGGGGGAACUGAAACAUCUAAGUACCCCGAGGAAAAGAAAUCAACCGAGAUUCCGAAAGUAGCGGCGAGCGAAAUUGGACUAGCCCUUAAGCUUUACACGCGUUAGACGAACGGUCUGGAAAGUCCGACGAUACAGGGUGAUAGUCCCGUAGUUGACGACGUGUGUUCAGUGAAAUCGAGUAGGGCGGGACACGUGAUAUCCUGUCUGAAUAUGGGGGGACCAUCCUCCAAGGCUAAAUACUACUGACUGACCGAUAGUGAACCAGUACCGUGAGGGAAAGGCGAAAAGAACCCCUGUGAGGGGAGUGAAAUAGAACCUGAAACCGUGUACGUACAAGCAGUAGGAGCAGGCUUUGUCCUGUGACUGCGUACCUUUUGUAUAAUGGGUCAGCGACUUAUAUUCAGUGGCAAGGUUAACCAUCUAGGGGAGCCGUAGGGAAACCGAGUCUUAACUGGGCGUUCAGUCUCUGGAUAUAGACCCGAAACCAGGUGAUCUAGCCAUGGGCAGGUUGAAGGUUGAGUAACAUCAACUGGAGGACCGAACCGACUAAUGUUGAAAAAUUAGCGGAUGACUUGUGGCUAGGGGUGAAAGGCCAAUCAAACCUGGAGAUAGCUGGUUCUCCCCGAAAGCUAUUUAGGUAGCGCCUCGGACGAAUACUACUGGGGGUAGAGCACUGUUAAGGCUAGGGGGUCAUCCCGACUUACCAACCCUUUGCAAACUCCGAAUACCAGUAAGUACUAUCCGGGAGACACACGGCGGGUGCUAACGUCCGUCGUGGAGAGGGAAACAACCCAGACCGCCAGCUAAGGUCCCAAAUUACUACUAAGUGGGAAACGAUGUGGGAAGGCUCAGACAGCCAGGAUGUUGGCUUAGAAGCAGCCAUCAUUUAAAGAAAGCGUAAUAGCUCACUGGUCGAGUCGGCCUGCGCGGAAGAUGUAACGGGGCUAAGUAGUAAACCGAAGCUGCGGCAAUGUGCUUUUGCACAUUGGGUAGGGGAGCGUUCUGUAAGCGGUUGAAGGUGUGUGGUAACGCAUGCUGGACGUAUCAGAAGUGCGAAUGCUGACAUGAGUAACGAUAAAGGGGGUGAAAAACCUCCUCGCCGGAAGACCAAGGGUUCCUGUCCAACGUUAAUCGGGGCAGGGUAAGUCGACCCCUAAGGCGAGGCCGAAAGGCGUAGUCGAUGGGAAACGGGUUAAUAUUCCCGUACUUCUUACAAUUGCGAUGGGGGGACGGAGAAGGCUAGGUGGGCCUGGCGACGGUUGUCCAGGUUCAAGUGCGUAGGCUUAAGAGUUAGGUAAAUCCGGCUCUUUUUAAGGCUGAGACACGACGUCGAGCACCUACGGGUGUGAAGUCAUUGAUGCCAUGCUUCCAGGAAAAGCCUCUAAGCUUCAGAUUGUAAGGAAUCGUACCCCAAACCGACACAGGUGGUCGGGUAGAGAAUACCAAGGCGCUUGAGAGAACUCGGGUGAAGGAACUAGGCAAAAUGGUACCGUAACUUCGGGAGAAGGUACGCUCUUGAUGGUGAAGUCCCUUGCGGAUGGAGCUGACGAGAGUCGCAGAUACCAGGUGGCUGCAACUGUUUAUUAAAAACACAGCACUGUGCAAAAUCGUAAGAUGACGUAUACGGUGUGACGCCUGCCCGGUGCCGGAAGGUUAAUUGAUGGGGUUAGACUUCGGUCGAAGCUCUUGAUCGAAGCCCCGGUAAACGGCGGCCGUAACUAUAACGGUCCUAAGGUAGCGAAAUUCCUUGUCGGGUAAGUUCCGACCUGCACGAAUGGCGUAAUGAUGGCCACGCUGUCUCCACCCGAGACUCAGUGAAAUUGAAAUCGCUGUGAAGAUGCAGUGUACCCGCGGCUAGACGGAAAGACCCCGUGAACCUUUACUACAGCUUGGCACUGAACAUUGACCCUACAUGUGUAGGAUAGGUGGGAGGCUUUGAAGCACGUACGCCAGUAUGUGUGGAGCCGUCCUUGAAAUACCACCCUUGUAGUGUUGAUGUUCUAACGUCGACCCCUAAUCGGGGUUGCGGACAGUGCCUGGUGGGUAGUUUGACUGGGGCGGUCUCCUCCCAAAGAGUAACGGAGGAGCACGAAGGUGGGCUAAUCACGGUUGGACAUCGUGAGGUUAGUGCAAUGGCAUAAGCCCGCUUGACUGCGAGAAUGACAAUUCGAGCAGGUGCGAAAGCAGGUCAUAGUGAUCCGGUGGUUCUGAAUGGAAGGGCCAUCGCUCAACGGAUAAAAGGUACUCCGGGGAUAACAGGCUGAUACCGCCCAAGAGUUCAUAUCGACGGCGGUGUUUGGCACCUCGAUGUCGGCUCAUCACAUCCUGGGGCUGAAGUCGGUCCCAAGGGUAUGGCUGUUCGCCAUUUAAAGUGGUACGCGAGCUGGGUUUAGAACGUCGUGAGACAGUUCGGUCCCUAUCUGCCGUGGGCGUUGGAAGAUUGAAGGGGGCUGCUCCUAGUACGAGAGGACCGGAGUGGACGAACCUCUGGUGUUCGGGUUGUGUCGCCAGACGCAUUGCCCGGUAGCUAAGUUCGGAAUCGAUAACCGCUGAAAGCAUCUAAGCGGGAAGCGAGCCCUGAGAUGAGUCUUCCCUGAUACUUUAAGUAUCCUAAAGGGUUGUCGGAGACUACGACGUUGAUAGGUCAGGUGUGUAAGUGCUGUGAGGCAUUGAGCUAACUGAUACUAAUUGCCCGUGAGGCUUAACCAUACAACACCCAAGGGGUUU